ACGAACGCUGGCGGCGUGCCUAAUACAUGCAAGUCGCGCGAAGUUUUUCUGGUGCUUGCACUAGAAAAACUUAGCGGCGAACGGGUGAGUAACACGUAAAGAACCUGCCUCAUAGACUGGGACAACUAUUGGAAACGAUAGCUAAUACCGGAUAACAGUAUUUCUCGCAUGGGAGAUAUUUAAAAGUUGGUUAUGCUAACACUAUGAGAUGGCUUUGCGGUGCAUUAGCUAGUUGGUGGGGUAAAGGCCCACCAAGGCGACGAUGCAUAGCCGACCUGAGAGGGUGAUCGGCCACACUGGGACUGAGACACGGCCCAGACUCCUACGGGAGGCAGCAGUAGGGAAUCUUCCGCAAUGGGCGAAAGCCUGACGGAGCAACGCCGCGUGAGUGAAGAAGGAUUUCGGUUCGGAAAGCUCUGUUGUUAGGGAAGAAUGGAUAUGUAGUAACUAUACAUGUAAGAGACGGUACCUAACCAGAAAGCCACGGCUAACUACG
This 496-nucleotide ribosomal RNA is filed under the name uncultured bacterium. Its description in RNAcentral is "partial 16S ribosomal RNA". It matches the Rfam family "Bacterial small subunit ribosomal RNA", at positions 29 to 505 of the family's 1533-position model. The record is from RNAcentral.